Molecule: ribosomal RNA, 631 nt
Filed under: uncultured Atribacterota bacterium
Lineage: Bacteria; Pseudomonadati; Atribacterota
Description: bacterial SSU rRNA
Rfam family: Bacterial small subunit ribosomal RNA
Source: RNAcentral
UGCAAGUCGAACGAGAAGCUAACUUCUGAUUCCUUCGGGAUGAUGAGGUUGGCAGAAAGUGGCGAACGGGUGAGUAACGCGUGGGUAAUCUACCCUGUUAAGUGGGGGAUAACCCUCCGAAAGGAGGGCUAAUACCGCAUAAUAUCUUCUCCUCUGAAAGAGGUAAAGAUUAAAGAUGGCCUCCAUAUUAUGCUAUCGCUUCAGGAUGAGCCCGCGUCCUAUUAGUUAGUUGGUGGGGUAAUGGCCUACCAAGGCGACAAUGGGUAGCCGGUCUGAGAGGAUGUACGGCCACACUGGGACUGAGAUACGGCCCAGACUCCUACGGGAGGCAGCAGUGGGGAAUAUUGCGCAAUGGGGGAAACCCUGACGCAGCGACGCCGCGUGGAUGAUGAAGGCCCUUGGGUUGUAAAAUCCUGUUCUGGGGGAAGAAAGCUUAAAGGUCCAAUAAACCCUUAAGCCUGACGGUACCCCAAGAGAAAGCUCCGGCUAAUUAUGUGCCAGCAGCCGCGGUAAUACAUAAGGAGCAAGCGUUAUCCGGAAUUAUUGGGCGUAAAGAGCUCGUAGGCGGUCUUAAAAGUCAGUUGUGAAAUUAUCAGGCUCAACCUGAUAAGGUCACCUGAAACUCUAAGAC